Bos indicus x Bos taurus (hybrid cattle) is the source of this 717-nucleotide long non-coding RNA. Lineage: Eukaryota; Metazoa; Chordata; Mammalia; Artiodactyla; Bovidae. The record is from Ensembl.
CCCUCCCUCUCUCCCCACAGGGUUCUUCCCUCUCUCUCCCUGAGACAAAUGUUUUGCAAUUGCAUUAUCUUUGCUAUGAUAAUUACCCUCUGAGAGUCUGAUGUAGGUCAAGAGCCGGAUAGCCAGAGGAGAUCAUCUUUUUUUUUGCUGAAGUUUCUGAACCUUUCAAGAAUUAAUCCGGGACCACAGGGAGCCAGGCAAAGUCCUCCAAGCAGUGGCAUGCCACAGCUGGCUCCAGCUGUGUACGAAAGAUUUUGUGAGCUGUUUGAGAUCACAGAGGUACCCUGAAAUUGCCUUGAUGGGGCUGUUUACAGCAUGAAAAUCAACAAAUACUGCAAAUCCAACUUCUAGUAUCUCUCUGAACUGAGUGCGAAGCAUUCAUCGGCACACUAUAAUCCAUCAUUGCAUACCUGUGGCUUUUUUCUUAUGACACUGACUUAUUAAAGAGAACAGAUCAGUUGCUCUGUAGAAUGUGUUGCUUUCUACAUGUGUCUGACUGUGAUAGCCCACAUAUUUCCUAUAUACUGGAGGUUAUAUCAAAAGGCUAAAUAGAUUCAAGUUAAACAUUCCUGGCUUUUAAUUGUUUUAGAUAUAUAAUGUGAUUUUCCAAAAGACACAUAAUAUUUGGUUGACUCACCACUAAUGAUACUAACAUUGGCCUCUAGAUUAAAUUUAGUAAGAGCAAUUCAGUCCCUCCAUUGUAGAGUUAUGUUUUUC